Columba livia (rock pigeon) is the source of this 15738-nucleotide long non-coding RNA. RefSeq lists it as uncharacterized. The record is from RefSeq and is a predicted model, not a curated record. NCBI's taxonomy places the organism in Eukaryota, Metazoa, Chordata, Aves, Columbiformes, Columbidae. The transcript has 4 exons.
GAGGAAACACAAUAAAGCACUCUUUUUAACAGGUGGCAGUAAAGACACUUACUUGGAUGUUUUUUCUAAGCAAAACUUCCACCUGUUCACGGAGGGAGUUUGGGUUCAAAGUGGUACAACGUUUGGCUGUGGCCCUUGGCUGGGCUCCGGCAGGCGGGGAGGGGCAGCAGCUGAGAGAACAGCAGGCCCCACCUGACCGGGGCCAAUCGCCUGCAGAACCCGCUGCACGUGGAGAAAGCCCGGAACCCGCAGCGCCCGCACCCGCCCGGCGGGCAGGCACACAACCCACCCGGGCAGCGCGGGCCGGCGGCACGCGGGCCUUUGUCCGCGCGACUGCGAGGACCGUUAGGACCGUUAGCCAUCUCAGCUGCCUGCCCGGCGCCAGAGGCUGCGAGCCCGUCCUGCUGCCCGCCGCUUCAUGGGAAGAGACUGAGGGGCUGCUGCUUUGAAGCUUGCAAGGUUUAACUCCUAUCAUGGAAAGAAUAAAAGUCAAAAACCCUGGAAACAUCAAACUUUUGAUUACUUUUCUAACAAGGUCCAAGGAUAUUCUUCUGCCAUAAAUCCCUGCCACAUGUCAGACUUUUUCAUCUGCAGGUUGAAGUUAUUCAUAGCCAGGAGGAAAGGAGGUAUUAGUGACUUGUGUGAUGAACCUUCAAAGGAAGUGAUCAUCUCCUUGGACUUGAUGAAAACUAGAACCCCCUGAGUCCUGCAAUAGCCCUUGGGAAGAGAAAAGUUUUGCUAACUGAAACAAGUGAAGUGGAAGCCUUCUGCCAUUAUCAGAAAUCAAGUAUUAUGGGAGAAGAGGAUGGAAAGCUUGCUCAAGGAGAGACUAGCGAAGGAAGAACAAAAGAAUCCUGGAUGUCUGCUAGAAGGCUUAACACAUAGGAGAAAAGACGGCUAUGUGAGCUAAAAAAAUGUGGGAAUAAUAACAAAUGUUUAUUAAUGAGAAUAAAUUUAGCCUGCAAAACUGGAAGAUGUUUUAACACAGUUCUAGAAGUGCAUUCCCAUAGGAUUAGGUAAGGAGAAAAAGCUGUGUUCCCUUCAAAAUCUGUAACAGGAUUAUAUGAUCCUAUGUCUCUGGAAGCAGGGAUUGCCUUAGAUACACAGAAAACCCCAUUAGAUUAAUGCUUCCAAUUCAUUAAAAAUUCUAAAGGUUUCUGAAUUUUUAAAGUGAAAUAAGUGGAGAAUAAAUGGCACAGCUAUUAAGCCAAGAGGCAGACUAAUUUUUUUUCUUUGCAUUAUAUGGCUACAUAUAGACUAAAAAUUGUACUAGUAUAUUAGUGUUUUGUUAUUUUAUUAAACUCUUGUUUAUCUCAAUCCAAGUUUCUCCCUUCCCUUUCAAUUCUAUCCCAUUUGGGAAGGGGGGUUAGUGAGCAGCUAUCGUGGUUGUAUUGCUAGUUUGGGUUAAACCACAACAUACUUGAAAAAUAUAUUGUCUGCAUUGUGAUUCCAUUCCUAUUCCUUCCUGAAAUGCUCUGAUGCAGCUAAGUCAAUUUUUAAUUGGAGCAAUGAGCUGGAAUGGAACACUAGAAAACUUUGGUUUUUUUGUUAAAUUGUCCUGGUUUGUUUUUUGGUUUGGUUUGGUUUUCUUAAUACUAGGGUAUUUGCUCUGCAAUAUUAAAACUUUGAACUGUUUGUGUGUAUGGUUCAUACUGAUAAUAACUGGGCUAAAUGAGGCAACGAUAAAGAUUUCCGCACAUCAGCUAAAUCUAAAACGACAUCUGAAGGGUAAAAGCUUUGUACCAUUACAGAUAAUCGCCAAAUUCUUCAUUAUUCCAAUAUGGAUGGUAUUCACUGUCUAGAAUAUAUUUUCUAUCAUACAUGGAUACGUACAAAAUAGACAAUUUUUGAUGCAUCCAGUCUUCCAUAGUGUAUGUAUUUGAAUGCUGGUCCUUUAAAUAUAGGAAAGAAAGUAAAAUUAAUGCAGUACAGCAAACCAUAGAAAGCAGUUGCUAUGUACUGUGAAAUAAGUAUCUGGUCACAGGUCCAGGUUAGAUAAAAAGAAAAAAAGUCAAACUUACCAGCAAAUUCCAGGGUUUUGUGGGAGUUUUGUGAUGAAGUAGCUUUUACCCGAGCUAUGCCAUUUUAAAAAAGAAAAAUUUGGUAUUUUGGUAGGAUGUGUUCAUUUCAGCAAUGCUUCAUUUUAAAAACAGGAAUUGAGGAAGAAGCAUGGUAAAGUCCUUGCACUAAAGCUCUGAGCCACCUCACCUAAGCAAACUUCUCCAACAUGGAAAAAGUAAUUUUCAGUAUAAAUAUACCAAAUAGAAAAAUAAUAUUGAUAAUAAAUAUAUUUAUAAAUAUUAAUAUCACACUGAAUAUAAAAAUCAAUAAAAUUGGAAAAUUUAAAAAGUACUAAACAAAUUAGAAAUGGUUUUGUGUAUUGAGCUGAAAGAUUUCGAGCAAUUCCUGGUUUUAUUUCAUUCUGUAAAUACAUUGUUUUACUCAGUUUUGGAAAACUUCAGGAAAUACAGAUUUUCCUCCAAAACAUAAAAUUCUAUUCUUGACCACCUCUAGUAACUAGCAAUAAGUAUCUCAAUAUUAAUUUGUGCGUACCACCUCUAAAAUGUGCUGCCCAAAUGUUUGGGUUUUAUUCAUAUCUGAUCAGCUAAAACAUCCAUUUACUUUGUAAAGAUCCACUGAACAGGUUUUCAAAAAUAAAAUGGGCCAGCAGAUAUUCACUCAGUCAAUUUUCAGAAAGGUUUUUGAAUCAGAAACACUGAUAUUUCUUCAGUUACUGACUUAGCACAAUGUGUCAUUGGGUGAAAAACAGAAAAGGGGUGAAAUCUCCUUGGUGUUCUUUGGAACAGAGGCAGAUGGCUCCCAUCUCCCUGAAGUAGUUUUGUUUUCCACCUCUUCUCUCAAAAGGGAAAUUUGUUAACACUGUGACAAAAACAAACUACACAGAAUAGCAAGUUCAGGCACUUCAGGAGAAAUUGACAUACUGUUUUAAAGUAGAAUGGUACUUUCUUGGGAACUCAAAUGUUUAUAGGAUUAUAAAAUGCGUGGGAUGACACCAGGAUAUAUAUAUAUAUAUAUCCAAAAUAUUUACAAGCAAAAUUGCUUUCAAACUUUUAGGGGGGGAAAACAAAGCAAAACAAAUUCCUUUAUGUGGCCUGAUCUAAGUCGCUGAUGUAAGUAAUAAGCAGUGCUGAAAUCUGAAUCCCUCACAGUUUUCUACUGCAGUUUUCUAUGACUACGGAAUGAUAUCUCAUACUUUUGCUAAUACAGAUGAAAACCAGAGUUCCAUGGGACUAUGACUGGCCUUCCCAGCUAUUUGGUAACAAGCACAGACAUGGAGACAUCUGAGAACUUUUAGUUAUACUCUGGGCUCAGGAAAAUCAGAUUUUAUGGUGGGCACAGGCCCAGUUCUAUUUCCUUAUAAAAAAAAAACUCCUUUGUAUAAUUGCUUUUCUGUUCCCAUUCUUUGUGUUUCUGCAGAGUUUCCAUCUUUAACUACUCGGUUCAUCACCUCUUCACCUGUUACUUACAACUGGGCUUUACUCUCUACUGACACCUGAUCUCUUUCCUCCAAAUAUCCCCAUCCAAACUCUCUGUGGCCGCAGCAGGUUCUCCUCAUCUUCCUUCUGUAUAAAGUCAGGGAAGAUCUGCAUGGCCCAACUGAAAGCAGAGAAAAGCCAGCAUCUCCAUUUCACUAUCAGUUGCUAACAGGUUACAAAAAUAAUAGUCUCACUUAGGGUGGGUUGGAUAGGAGACUGCCCAGUAAGAGCAGUCCUGAAUUUCGACUAGGUUGUAAGGGAACUAGACUGUAAGGGAAAAAUCACUCUUUUUCAUGGAAGGUGUGUGUUUGUGAAUCAUUUUGGCAUGAUAAGAGCAGUAAAGAGUUCUAUCUGUUCUUCAGAUCACAACAUGGAUUUCCUAGACUAGAACUGACUGUAAGGAGGAGCUAGUAUCAACCAGCCAUGCCAACUACAUUAGCAACAGCUAAACUAACAUUACAUUAGGACCUAGGUUUAAGCAUUUCCUCCUUAAGUUGUGGUUAAUUUUGGCUUGGCAUGCAUCUACCUAACACUGAAGUUAAUAAUCAUAACUUGGGGCUUGUCAUACAUAAGGUUACUCUAGUAGUUCAGUAGCUUUAGAUGAUAAAGCUCAUUUGCUUAGCUGGUAAUAACUUUUCUCAGGCCUAGUCAUUUGUACUAUGAUUGAUAAUCUGGGGAUUAUGGAUAAUCAAUGAAGCCUCUCAGAGAACCUAAGUUACCCAAUACAAGACAUUAUUGUAUCAUUCAAUAACAAGCUGGGGGGAGGGGAGGAGAGAGAAAGAACAGAAAUGUUUGAAGUAAUUUCCAGAAAAAAAGCUAUGAACCUGUAUUCAAUGAGUUUAGGGUAAGGCCAUAAAAUAAGAUCAUUUCAAAUUGAUUUGACAGCUAUAUAAAAUGUAAAUUUUUUUUUUUUUUAAUUGGCAUUUUCAGCAGGCAUUUCAAAAUAAUUUAAAAUUCCUUAAGACAUAAGCACUGAACCAACAUUUGUGCAUGAAGGAGUCCCACUUAACUCAGGACCUGUCAUUUGUACACAGAGAUGAGCGAUCUUUAAAAAUAUUUUUCCAAAUCCCUUAUUUUUUCUGGUUUUGUUGUCCAGCUUUCUCAACAGAAAGCACAGCUGAAGCCAUGCUUCUGCUGCAGUGACGGUGCUAUCCCAGAACACACAUGCAAUUAACAACAGAAAAUAUCACCUUACAGUAUUUUUCAGCGCAGGUCCUUUUGUCCUCUACACAAGUCACUAGCUGUUGGAGAUUUCUUGGCGGGGUGGGGGGAGGACAGGGUGUUUGUCUGGUGUGUGUUUCCCCUGUCCCUGUGUCUCUUCUGCAGAAGUUUCCAGUAUUGUUUGCCUUUCAAACUGUUACAGCCCAUCUUCAAGGAGAACUUUAAAAACCUGAUCACAGCUGCAGCUGAAGCAAUGCAGAAAUCCCCUCGAGCUAUCUGCAGUUCUUCUGUCAGCACCCUCAGUGUCAGUCCUCUCCAGAGAGACUUGUAACAAAACUUAAGUCAACACACAAGAGCUCAAAGGGGAAAGCUCUCUGCAUGGGAUGAUGUUUACUUAGGGAAUAAGCACUCCUUUGUCACACUGGAACCCAGAAAUUCAGAAGCAGAUACAUUCCAUUAAGUUUAAUUUUAUAGCAAUUCUGAGUAUGCACAGCACAACUACAGUUCUUCAUUUCCAUGUGACUGAAUUACGUAGAAGCCACUGAAGACAGAUAUAUGUAUUUAUAGAACCAAACCAAAAUAAACAAAAAACCCAUGUACAUACUGUUGAAAUAUUUUGUGAUUUAAUCUGUUUAUUUAACCAUGAUUCAUUGAGAUAUUUAAGGGACAAGGUAUUUGCAAACUAUUAGGAAGAAGUUCAGUACACUACAGAACAUUAGAGGUCACAGUAUCAAUACCGAAAUCAAAGCUACUGUAACGGCAACUUACAGAGAACAAAGAUUGCUCCUUAAGCUAAAAAAUAUUCUAGAAGACUAAAAGAUUUCAGAAAAAUGAUAAAAUCUUUAGGAAUAGAAAAGCAAAGCACAGCAAAAGAUUUGUUAAGCAAGCAAAAAUCAACUAAGGCGGCAAGAAGAAUCAUGGAUUACCUCUGGUUAGACACAGGAGAAAGACUGGGGUACGUAUAAAUUUGGGAUGAAACUAAUACUGAGUAUACAAUAACACUUCAGUAAAAAUAUCUCUAGAAAUAUCUAAAAAUAGAGAAUAGACAAUAGAAAUAAUAUGGUUUUUUAAAAAGUACUUUAGAAAGUCUACUCCAUCUACAGGGUGUUUCAAAAAGAUGGACCCAGUUUGAAACCACUAUGCUUUGAAAUUGAUCUUUUUGAUACACCCUGUAUAUUGGCCUAGAACAUCAAUAAACACAUGUAUAUUCAUCUAUCUGCAGUAAAGGGGAUUUUUAAUAUAAAGUAAGAAGUGUCAAUAACAUCUUCAAUUGUUUGCAGUCAAAGCCUAAUAUAUUUUAUUCACAGAUUAAAAUAUUUAAACUUUAUUAUGUUAAUAUUCUGAACACAGCAUCUUAAAGAUGUGAAAUUCUGUUUUCUAGUAAGAGUUCUGAGGGUGAUAUACUGGAUAAAGAACAGGAAUGAUGCUGACAGGAGGCCUUGUCAGGCUCAAACUUGCUGUUAAGGUCAGUGAUUAGCUUGACAAUUCAAUGCCUUAAAAAAACCUGUAUUGUCUAACUGUGGAGAAGUUCUGGCCAAGUCCUUCAAUAGAUGGCCAGGAACUGAAGGAACCUGGCCUCAGAAAGGACUGUGAACAGCUGAGAUUUCUAGAAAAGAAGCCUGAAUGAUUCAGAAAACAAUUUCAAUAUAAUUAUAUGGAAAGGAGUAAAACGGAUUAUUACAACAAAAUAGUUUAAAAAGCAGGUGAAGGAAUAGGCAUGAAUUAAGUUUCUCCUGCUGUGUUACCAUCUAUGCAUUAUUUAUAAACUACUUAUUAUUUUAUAAUAAUGCAUUAUAAUUUAAUAAUUAUGUAUUACAUGGAAAACACAUGCACUAAUCUUUUACACCAAUUUUGUGUCUCUGAAAUAUAAAUGUCUUAAAACUAUCUGAAUGUAUAUGACCUCAAUCUAGGAAGGUGGAUUUCACUAGUGCUGUCCAAGAGAAAUACAUCUAAGAUAUAUUCAAUACCUGGGCAGAGAUUCAAGAACCAUCCGGCAGUUAGGUAUCGGUUAAAGGCCAGUCACCUCGUCUACCUCCGUAGCCAACUGAAUGAGAUACUUCAAGAUGGCGAUUUCUUGUAUCCUAUGUUUGCCUUCUAUGAAGAAGGUCUCCUUUCCCAGCAGCACUGUGCUGGCUGACUGCCUUAGACACCUGCUUUUUAGGCAAAUGAAGAUAAGGGAGGUGAACUCCAGCUCUAUGACAAAGAAAGUUCUGUUCACAUUUGUAGAUUCCUUUCCUCAUGUAUGCAGGAGAAAAACUAACCAAACCUGGGCGUGUAUCUAUCUUGAAUCACAUUUGUUUGGCUGGUUUUGGUAAAUCUUACCUCAAGAAAUGCCUCUUCUCAAAAGUUGAAAUGAAAGGUAUUCAAAAAAUUUCCAGCACCCGCACACGGACAUUUCAAACAUGAUCCAGCCUGGUAUUCAGAAAGUCCAAGUUUGCUGUUUAUUUUCCAUGCUUCUUGGGCAAUCUUCAAAGCACCAAUAUUUGAUCAAUAUUCAGAGAGUAUAUAUUCCUUUCUUAGAAAGACAGUGUUUUCUGUGCAGGAAGCCUGAAAAAUAUGCCAAUUGGAAGAGAGUAUUUCCUCAUCAAUGUAAUGACACAAACCAAAACAUUUUACUGCUGUUUCCAUACAGUAAAACAAUAGUACCUAUGUUCUUGCUGAUUAUCAAUACCUUUGUUAUGGAACUUAAGCAUAUUUUUGUUUUGAUUCAGCAAAUUUUUCUAUUCUUCCCCAAACUGAGUCAAAUAUUGACAUAUUAAAUCACACUCAAAUGUUCAGUCUGGGUUUGUCUGCUGAUAGGCCCCCACAGCGCUACAGAAAACAGUAACUCCCCUUCUAUUCAGCACUGGGAAGUGAAGUCUCUGCACAGACACACGUCCUUCUCCUCAGCUCCAGCGAAGCUCAAGAGUGAAACAGCCCGAGCCUGUGGGAACAUUCACGGCUCAAGAGCAACGACAGAAAACACCAAGACCAAAACUGACAGAUUUUGAAAUGUCACUGUUAAAGCUUCAUAGCUUCCCCCCCCCCUUUUUGUUGUUUUUCUUCUCCAAAGUUUAGAAAAUAAAGAUACAUUACACAGACAAAUGAAAAUGAAAAGGACUGGUUAUCCAUGUUUACUGUUAGAAGGAGGAGGAAAAGAAAAAAAAAAACAACACAACAACCCACCCCAGAAAGAAAACUGUAAUACUGCUUCGAAUUUUCCAUGCGAUUUGAUUUAAACUUAACAUCUUUAUUUGUAUUUAUUUAUCAUAUUUGGAAGAACUAAAAAUCAUUCUCUUUUAAAACCUAUUAAACUGAAAUAACUUUAAUUUUUAAACUUUUUUUCCUCCACUUGAACUGUUGAAAUAAAUUCUGAAAUAAAUUUGGAAGAAUUUAGAAGAAAAAAAUGCCAAUGCACUUUCCAGGUUCUGUGAGCAUGAGUGGAGACCAUUUCAAUCUCCAGACAUUUCUGGAAAGAAUUACUGCCUUUUCAUUUUCAGAUAUUAAAAAAAUCAUCUCCAGUAGGUUGCAAUUCCUACUCUACAUAUUGCUUCCAGAAAGAUCGGUUUCUGUAUAAAUCAAAUAACUUUGAAAGUCGGGUUUUAUUGUGACUCCAAAAAGCAGCAACACAAAAAAAGGUAUUUUGCAAACCUGCAAUACCUGUAUUUCUAUUUCCAAUUAAAACCUGUCUUGUAUUUAAUACUGCACUAUACAGACUGGUUUUGAAUUGCUACAAUUACACAUCUGAAUAUGGAUAUAAUGGAAAUGGGGCAAUCAGAGACAAAGAGUUUUCCAAAAUUUUAUAAAUAGCAAGUUUAUAUCAACAGAUGUGCUGAGAGUGGGUUGUUUGGUGUUUUUUUUAAUAAAGUAAUCCUGAAAUUUAAAAAGACUUAUUGUAUGAUUUGCAGACUCUUCAUAUAAUACUCAGUUACACUGGCAUUGGUUCAUUGUAAUGGCCUUGUAAAAUUAUUUACUAGAUUUAGAAAUGUUAAUGUCCACAGCUUAACCCACGCUUUCCUGAACUGUCCUUUAUUUAUCAUAUCUAUCAAACUACACGGAAGUGUUCCAGGGAUUUUUGUUUGGUUUAAUUUUACAGCAAUGUAAUAUCUAAAAUCGUUGCAUUUCUGCAGGUGGGGCAAUCCUUGUACAUACAGAGACUUGUGCUUAAUGAAACAGUAAUUGGCAUUGUACUAUCCAAUACAAGACGCUAGAAUGAACGGGGGGUGUUGCUUGUGGCACCCUAACACUGCUUUGGAAAUGGAAUGGAGCCCUCUGUUCCCUAUUUGAGUUCUGUGGCCAAGACUUAGAGGAGCCCGUGAGCCUAUCACAUCAGAUACAUGUGUAUCUUAGGAUAAUUUGUCUUCUACUAAAAUGGCUGCUGUACUUGUUUGUAUGGGAAACCAACUUCUCAUUAUUUCCUUAACAGAUGGAGCCUAUAGAAUAGACACAGACAGUGUGAAUUGCUUUGGUGCUAUAUUCACCAGGGCUUAAACUGAAAUAGAAUGAAUUUUCAGAUUCACUGUAUUUUUUAAAAAUCUGUUUUCCUUCAUAUUUAGGCUAUUCUCUCCUCUCCUCUCCUCAAAAUCACCAUGUGUUUUCCCAACUUAUAAUCUUGUUCAUUACGUACAAAUGUUUACAUCAUAAAACUUGAGUCGUAUGAUGAAAAUUUGUAACAGUGCUUUUAUAGCAGCUAUUACAACAGCUUUAGAAUGAAUGCUUAGCUCAAGGCUAGAGAACAGCAAUUAUUCAGCUGGAUUUAUUGGGAAGAUGCAAAGUCUCCCUUACAGUUGCUUUAGCAAAACAAUUAUUGGACAAUAGAGAACAUUAGAAAGAAGGGAGCCUGAACAAGAAUCAUGUGUUUUUAAAGUGCCUUACAGACAAAUUGUUUUAUUUUAUCAAAAGCCUGAGAAGGGACUUGACUAGUGUAAGUACCAUCAUGAGAAGAAAACACAGGAUCUUUAAGGAAGCAGAGAAAAGCUUCAUAUGAGUCAUUUGAACAGAUAUUUGAAAAAAGUUUAAAUCUGAAGGGUUAAUUAAUAGACUAAAUCACCUAAUGUGUUUAGGCCCCUUCUUCAGCUAACCUGUCACAGUAGUGGGAACCAUCCAUCGUCCCCCAGGAUGACCUUAAAUGAGAAGCUUGUCUGCCAAAACAAAGAUUAUGUCCUUCUUUCUAGGAAAAAAUCAGAUCACCAAGAUCUUAGGUCCAGUAUUGGGAUCAAUAAAGUUUUAUAAAGAUAAAUGAACUCGUCAUUUUUUAUACAUGUAGCUUUUUUUUUUUUUUGGUCUGAAGUAGUGUAGAAAACACAGCAACUGGUAAAUUCAGUGGAAAGAUCACCACUGUGGCAAAUGUGUGCAUAUGCAUAGCUUUAAGUUCAUUUCACUUAAAAUUAGUGACAAUUAGUAGACAGUGCUAGAUAUGCAUUAACACAUAGAUUAGUAUGUAUACAUUAGUACAAUGUAUUAUUGCAUCCUGGCCCCAUUAUUUACUUGCUCUAUAGAACUCCAGUGCAGAGCACAACUGCUAUUUCACUUAUGCUUUUCAAUUGUGCUACUUUGCUUGGUCUCUGCAUUGAAUCACGGUCUCUGUUACAACUCCUGUCCUAAACACAACUGAAUACGUAUCAUUAGGAGAAUUUUCAUUGCAUAUAUGCAAUGGUUCCGCAUUCCCUAAAGAAAAAACUGUGAAUCCAAAUUAAGAGAAUUAAUUCUGAUUUUGAAGGUCACCUUAUGUCAAUGCUAAUUACUACUUGAUUAUGUGGAUUUGGGGGGCUUCAUAAUGAUAACAGUACAUUUCCUGUUGAAGUGUCACAUUUUGAAGGACUGCAGUAAUACAAUGCAAUCACAACAGCAGAUGUAGUUUACUCAGUCAGGAGAUAUAAGCACAACUGUUUCUGAUUUUAAAACUUGCCACAGGGAGUAAGUGAAUCACAGUAAAGCUGCUGUGCUGUAAACAGCAUUGCAAGUAAUCUGCUAAAACAUCAAGGCCCCCGCAAUCAAAAGGCCGACAGUCACGACUGAAGUUACUGAAACAUAAGAGAAUUUCAAUUGCAUCAAUAUUUUAAAGGAAGCCAAGUCAAAUACUAGUUUGAGUUCAGCGAUACCAAUAAUUACUAAAUCGUAUCAAGACACAAUUUAUAGAACAUCCAAGAGUCUUGUAGAACAAUGAUACUGCAUUUUUAAAAAUCCAGGCAUUUAUUUCAUCAUGUCACACAUUUUCUUAAGUACUUACGUUCCUUAGAAGCACAAAUGUCAUUGAUUUCAAGUGGUGUUUUUGCUUCUAGAUCACUUAGGGGCUUCUAAAUAUCUCACUUUCUGGCUUAAGUUUCUUAAACAUGCUUCUCGUGUUUUGGGUAAUUAUUUCACCUAAAGAGCUCCUGAAGAUUUUUUUUAACCUCACUUCUAUAACAGCUGCCAGUGCAGUUGGUUUUGCUUAUGAAAAAUAACAAGACUAACAUAACAUAUCACUUUUUGAAAUCUAAACAUACUACAUGUCUGAACAGUGAAAAAUCCUAGGCUGUCAUCUCGAGGUUUUAUUUAACUCAAAGAAACCCAUAAUAAAAUGCUAUACACAGCAAAACUAAAAUCAGACAUUGUGUAUUUGAUAAAACUAUCAGGUGUUGGUUGUUUUAAACGAGCACGUUUGAUUCAAUACUCAGCCAUUCAGAAAUUAGGAAUCUGCUUAUUAGACUCUUGGCAGACUUUAUAAAAAGCUGCCAAAACUUUAUUUCCGCUGACAUGUUUCACAGUCCCAUUUAACCCUAAAAGAGUUGAUUAUGUGGAUUUGGAAAGCUAAUUUAUUCUGUUUAGAGCUUCUUUGUGCAGCUCCAAGAAUAAACAGACACUUACUGAAAUUUCCAAAUGUUUCAAUACAAUCCCACUUCACUUGACCAUUACACUGCAGAAAAUUUCAUUUGUGCAAGAAGUGACCUGAAUUCUAUUGAUCCUAAAAAAAAACAAACAAAAAAAAUGAAGAGAGGUAAGUUAGGUCCCACCACCACCUAAAUAAACCAACCCCCUCCCAAAAAAUAAACUUAGGCAGGGAAUAUACCACUGAAUAUGGUUACUUCAUUAGAAACAUCCCUUAAUUUGGGUCUGUAUUUUACCUGAUGUGUAGCUAACAGCCUUGUUAUUUAUCAUGUCUUAACGUAAACACUUUGAAGCUGUUGCUACUCAGUAAUGUUCAUUACAAAUAGUCCCUGUGGGAAUCACCAGCUUAUUUCAUUAAGACUCCUGCCUGCUGUUAAUUGCUUUUAGGAAAACAUGAACAAAUUAACUGUGUUUUAAGACACAGUGGUGUAAAUUUAUAUGCUUGUGUGUUUGAUAGCUGGGGACUAACGAUGUUCCUGAUAUUCUGCUGUUGCACUACACUAUAUGAUAGUUGGCAGCACUAGCCUGUUGUAAUCAAUAACGGUGCUACCAAGGUUAAAAGAACAAAAUAUGGUUUGCAAACCAUAGUGUUUAUCAUGCUGGCUGAGACACAGUGUCAUUCUGGGUCAUGUACAAUAAUGUUUAAGAAUCUCUUGUGUGAAAGAAAUUAUGCUCUUUAGUAGGAAUUACUGAUGUAUAUUAACUGAGCAAAUUAAAAAAUCCAAGGUAUUUUUUUUACUAUGACAGUGGCAUGAACAGGAUGUGACACCUCACUGUUGAAAACAAGGGUUUUCCAUAGUUAAAUGAAGUAUGUGGCCUUGUACAGACCGUGAUAGCAUUCAGUUAAAAUAGCAUAAUAAAGAGUAAUUUAAAUGUUUUCAUUCAAAACAUAGUAGAGACAGCCUGCAGUACAAUUUUCACAAGGAAUGAUAAAGCAAAAAGAAAAUUACAUCACAUUUGCAACAAAUAGUGUUAAAAAAUAAAGUUAUUUAUUAUUACAAAAACCUAUAGCAUGAUAUGACGUUCCUGCUACUUAACUGGGCUUCAUCACAGUUGCAUAAAUAAAGUCCCUUGGAAAAUAUGUCUGCAAUCCAAAAAUCAAAAGGAAUUGGGUAAAGAGUAGUCUGGGCAUUUAUUUAUGCGUCAUUAAAGAAAUAAUUAUUUUCUCCCCUAUUAGCACAAUGGAUCCUGGGCGUCUCAUUUGUAUGUGCAGUACAAACCUCUGACUUUUCGGGGAACCAACAUUUCAAAUUCAGAUAGAUGUCUAAAAAUGGGCAAUGCGAUUGUCAUUAAAAUUAUUAUUUAGUCACUUGAUCUCAAAGAAAAACAAAAAAAGAGACUUGUAACCAAGGAGUGGGAUACUAAAAAUGCUGGGACUGUUUCUUCUGCAGGGUAAGAACAAGAUGACACUCAGAACUGGAAGUAAGUGAACUGCACACUGAUCAAAGAUAAUAGUACGACACAGAAACAGAAGCAUUACCAUUAAUCACAGGACUAUUCAAAUAUUCAAGAAGGAUUAGAAUUUGUAUGAAUUACAGGAAUGUUCAUUGAUGAUAGUGUGGGGAAAAAAAAUAGAAUUAGGGCAAUGUAAAAACUGGAUCUAAACAUGGGUUCCUUUGAGGCUAAAGCCAAUUGCUACUUAUUAGGCAUAAGGGAAAAACAAGCAGAUUGCCCUAAUUAUUCUGUUGAAUGCUCUACUGAAGCAUCUGUGACUGGCAUCUCCUGGGAACUGGAUACUGCACUUGAUGGCCUCCAGAUCUAAUCCAGCAUGGCCAUUUCCUCAAUUCCAGCUGAAUUAAUAUCACCUAAAUUCUGCAUCUUAGAUAUGAAAAUUAUGCUGGAGCUGCAUUGGAUCACAUUAUUUAUGUUUCAGUAACUCCUUGUAAUAUUGAUCUUAAACCAUAUUCCUCAUUUAAUAAAUAGUCCUGCAGACUUCAUUUAAACCAAAAAUGUAUGAUCAGGCAAAUGCAUGCUUGCAGCAGCAAGGAGCCAAUGGGCUCAAAACAAGCAUGGUGUUUAUAUUCAUGCUUAACUACAUUUACAGAAAAUUGUGUUGUGGAUGCUGAAAAUAUUUUGGACUGUGCUGUGUCUUAAGGAUCAUUCAGUCUGUGUUGAAGAUAUUUAACUAAUGAAGUAUAAAUUAAUUACACUUGUAAAGCACUUUGUCAUGCUGUAAGCGAAUACUAAGUAUUCACUUUCUGUUAUUAAAUCAAUAGCAACUAGGUUAUAACACUAACAGAGUAAAAACACUCUAGGACUUCACAGACAUGCUUGUGUUAAUUCACCCACUUUAGAGAUCAUGCGAAGAGAACUUGACUGAGCCAUACUAUUUCUAGGUUGAUUUAACUGCUUUACCAAAAGCUUACAAAACUACAGAGUCCAAUGUAUACCAGAAACAGUUGGAAACUAAGUUGCACUAAGUCCUCCAGUGUAAACCAUUUCUGAAAUAUGAUUUUUUUUUGUAAAUGUAGUGUUGCAGAAUGUAAGGAAAAAUAUUUCAUUUUUCCAAGAUUCCAAGCAUAUUAGAAUAUGUUGUUAGUACUGAAUCUUCUACAAAUCUUAAGAAAUAUGUGGUCACCAUACAUUUGAGUAAUUGCAGUGAGUUCCAAUAUACUAUAGUUAAUAGUUCAAGAAGCAUAUGUUUUCCACUACAGUCAUUAAUCAUUCUAAUAAUAGUAUUCUGUGUGAGCUCAGCCAGAUCAGAACCAUCAGUAAGUGUUAAAACUGUUGUUACGAGGUCCUGAACAGAUUGCAAGUGACAAUGGCACUCAGUUCACAUUUCAAGUUUCAAGUCUGUCAUAAUAAACAGUAUUAAAAAUCUCACAUCAGCUUCUCACCAGAUUCUCAGAAAUAGAUUAAUAAAAAUAUUUGAUCAGACACACAAACCUAAAUUAUUAUAUUAUUACCCCAUAUACAUUGAGCCUACAACACAAGCUUACAUUUUUUUACAUUAAUUAUAGAACUGCAUCCCACACUAUUACAAAUCAGACACUGGCAAUACUCUCUAUAGAAUGCUUGGCCUUCUUUGUUAGAGCCUGAGGGAACAAAACAUUCCCCCCCAGAACAAUGUUUUUUUUCAGUUUAUAUUAAAUAGGAAGAUUACCUGCAAGUUGAUGUUCCUGAUUUUAAAGGGGGAAUAAUGACAAAUGAGCAUGACGAGCCGUGCUCACUGCGUAGUUACCUAGGAAAAAAAAAAAAAAAAGAAAAGUGCUGUUUCAUGUUACUGGAUAAUUGAGUUUGCUUGUGAAAAAAAAAGAAGGAAUUUCACUUUACUUACCCCUGGCCUUGCUCUCUCACUGUUUUUCUUGCACUGGAUCUAAUUAAUGAUCAUGCAGCCAAUAAGGUGAGUUGGUUGAGCUGAUACGACAGAAAUCCACAGAACAAAUUAACAGCUUUCUAAUAAAUCUACAAACUGAACAGAUUCCCCUCAAAGGCAUGUGCUCAGUAGCCUCAGUGCAAAGGGAAGGAAUCCACAACUGAACCAUGAUAACGUCUACUCAAAGUUAUGCUCAAUUUAGAGUAAUGUUAAACCACAUUUUGAAUUUGAGAUGACGGAAACAUAAUAAUGCAAUUCUGUCUUGAUUGUGGCUAGUAAUGUGGCUUACAGAGAUUGCCAAGAAGUGGCACAUAAAAACCUGUGAACCAGCUUUCAUGCACUAAUUCUGCAAGAGGUUCUAUAAUCAGGAUGUCUGAUGAAAAAGACCACAGAGGGAACCUCGUGACAGUCCCCCACAAGUCUUUAUAUUUCUAAGGAGACACAGUAAAUACUGCUCUUUCUGAAAAGUACUCUAGUGGUGCCAAAAUGUCACAACAGCAACAAAAUCCAGAAGAGUUUUUUCACCACAUUAGUAAAGCAUUAUCACAUAGCAAAAUGAAAUAAAUAUACCCUUUAUCUCAAUCUAGCCUCCCACUAAUCCUGUUUUCAGUCUGCAUAUGGAUGUCUCCAAGAAAGUCCAGAGCAGAAACUAGACAGUAAAUGGAUAUUAUAUUACCAAUGUCAGCUUUUAAAUUGUUUAUGUCAGAAUCAAAUGUGAUAUAACCUUCCCAUUUUAUUUGACAAUGAAUUGAAAAGGUUUUAAAAUCGUAGUGGCUGCAUAUGGAAAUGUGGAUUUUAAAAACAGUACUUUUGUCAACCAUACAUAAGCAUUUCUAUAUAUUUGAGAAAAGCAGAAUUAAUCUGGCCUUCUGUUUUAUAAUUGCAAAAGAAAAUAUACUGUAACUUUUCUGCUUGUAA